This 543-nucleotide ribosomal RNA is filed under the name uncultured Ascomycota. Its description in RNAcentral is "eukaryotic LSU rRNA". The stretch from base 190 to 343 matches the Rfam family "5.8S ribosomal RNA". Lineage: Eukaryota; Fungi; Ascomycota. The record is from RNAcentral.
CUUGGUCAUUUAGAGGAAGUAAAAGUCGUAACAAGGUUUCCGUAGGUGAACCUGCGGAAGGAUCAUUACUGAGAAGCGCUCUGCGCACCUCUCCAACCUUUGCGUACCGAAUCUUGUAUCUUGCGGGCGGGCGACCGCCCGCGAGUUUAACGAACCCGUUUGAAUMGUCUGAUUUUUCUACAAAAAAACAACUUUCAACAAUGGAUCUCUUGGCUCCGGCAUCGAUGAAGAACGCAGCGAAAUGCGAUAGCUAGUGUGAAUUGCAGAUUUUAGUGAAUCAUCGAGUCUUUGAACGCACAUUGCGCCCUUUGGUAUUCCUCAGGGCAUGCCUAUUCGAGCGUCGUUUCAACUCUCAAGCUUGCUUGGUGAUGAGGGCUGCCUCCGGCACCCUUGAAACGCAUCGGCGGUGGCACGUAGCCCGAACGCAGCAGCAAUGCAGUCUCGGAGCGUGCAGCCUGCCACAACUUGCCUUUGGCAUUUUAAGCUCGACCUCGAAUUAGGUAGGGAUACCCGCUGAACUUAAGCAUAUCAAUAAGCGGAGGA